UUCUUGAAUGAGUUGCGAACGGGUGAGUAACGCGUAGGUAACCUGCCUUGUAGCGGGGGAUAACUAUUGGAAACGAUAGCUAAUACCGCAUAACAAUGGGUGACACAUGUCAUUUAUUUGAAAGGGGCAAUUGCUCCACUACAAGAUGGACCUGCGUUGUAUUAGCUAGUAGGUGAGGUAACGGCUCACCUAGGCGACGAUACAUAGCCGACCUGAGAGGGUGAUCGGCCACACUGGGACUGAGACACGGCCCAGACUCCUACGGGAGGCAGCAGUAGGGAAUCUUCGGCAAUGGGGGCAACCCUGACCGAGCAACGCCGCGUGAGUGAAGAAGGUUUUCGGAUCGUAAAGCUCUGUUGUAAGUCAAGAAUGAGUGUGAGAGUGGAAAGUUCACACUGUGACGGUAGCUUACCAGAAAGGGACGGCUAACUACGUGCCAGCAGCCGCGGUAAUACGUAGGUCCCGAGCGUUGUCCGGAUUUAUUGGGCGUAAAGCGAGCGCAGGCGGUUUGAUAAGUCUGAAGUUAAAGGCUGUGGCUCAACCAUAGUUCGCUUUGGAAACUGUCAAACUUGAGUGCAGAAGGGGAGAGUGGAAUUCCAUGUGUAGCGGUGAAAUGCGUAGAUAUAUGGAGGAACACCGGUGGCGAAAGCGGCUCUCUGGUCUGUAACUGACGCUGAGGCUCG
RNAcentral lists this ribosomal RNA (683 nucleotides) under uncultured Bacilli bacterium. Its description in RNAcentral is "bacterial SSU rRNA". It matches the Rfam family "Bacterial small subunit ribosomal RNA", at positions 84 to 755 of the family's 1533-position model. Lineage: Bacteria; Bacillati; Bacillota; Bacilli. The record is from RNAcentral.